Molecule: ribosomal RNA, 515 nt
Filed under: uncultured bacterium
Lineage: Bacteria
Description: partial 16S ribosomal RNA
Rfam family: Bacterial small subunit ribosomal RNA
Source: RNAcentral
GAUGAACGCUGGCGGCGUGCCUAGUACAUGCAAGUCGAGCGAAUGGAUUAAGAGCUUGCUCUUAUGAAGUUAGCGGCGGACGGGUGAGUAACACGUGGGUAACCUGCCCAUAAGACUGGGAUAACUCCGGGAAACCGGGGCUAAUACCGGAUAACAUUUUGAACCGCAUGGUUCGAAAUUGAAAGGCGGCUUCGGCUGUCACUUAUGGAUGGACCCGCGUCGCAUUAGCUAGUUGGUGAGGUAACGGCUCACCAAGGCAACGAUGCGUAGCCGACCUGAGAGGGUGAUCGGCCACACUGGGACUGAGACACGGCCCAAACUCCUACGGGAGGCAGCAGUAGGGAAUCUUCCGCAAUGGACGAAAGUCUGACGGAGCAACGCCGCGUGAGUGAUGAAGGCUUUCGGGUCGUAAAACUCUGUUGUUAGGGAAGAACAAGUGCUAGUUGAAUAAGCUGGCACCUUGACGGUACCUAACCAGAAAGCCACGGCUAACUACGUGCCAGCAGCAGCCGCAG